RNAcentral lists this ribosomal RNA (372 nucleotides) under uncultured organism. RNAcentral describes it as "partial 16S ribosomal RNA". It matches the Rfam family "Bacterial small subunit ribosomal RNA", at positions 527 to 896 of the family's 1533-position model. The record is from RNAcentral.
GUAGGUGGCAAGCGUUGUCCGGAAUUAUUGGGCGUAAAGCGCGCGCAGGCGGUUUUUUAAGUCUGAUGUGAAAGCCCACGGCUCAACCGUGGAGGGUCAUUGGAAACUGGAGAACUUGAGUACAGAAGAGGAAAGCGGAAUUCCACGUGUAGCGGUGAAAUGCGUAGAGAUGUGGAGGAACACCAGUGGCGAAGGCGGCUUUCUGGUCUGUAACUGACGCUGAGGCGCGAAAGCGUGGGGAGCAAACAGGGAUUAGAUACCCUGGUAGUCCACGCCGUAAACGAUGAGUGCUAAGUGUUAGGGGGUUUCCCGCCCCUUAGUGCUGCAGCUAACGCAUUAAGCACUCCGCCUGGGGAGUACGCCGCAAGGCUG